This 505-nucleotide ribosomal RNA is filed under the name uncultured bacterium. RNAcentral's name for it is "partial 16S ribosomal RNA". It matches the Rfam family "Bacterial small subunit ribosomal RNA", at positions 28 to 507 of the family's 1533-position model. The record is from RNAcentral.
GACGAACGCUGGCGGCGUGCCUAAUACAUGCAAGUAGGACGCACAGUCUAUACCGUAGCUUGCUACACCAUAGGCUGUGAGUUGCGAACGGGUGAGUAACGCGUAGGUAACCUGCCUAUUAGAGGGGGAUAACUAUUGGAAACGAUAGCUAAUACCGCAUAACAGUCUGUAACCCAUGUUAGAUGCUUGAAAGAUGCAAUUGCAUCGCUAGUAGAUGGACCUGCGUUGUAUUAGCUAGUAGGUAGGGUAAUGGGCUACCUAAGCGAAGAUACAUAGCCGACCUGGGGAGGUGGUCGGCCACACCUGGAAUGGGACACGGCCCAGAAUCCCUCGGGGGGCAGCAGUAGGGGAACUUCGGCAAUGGGGGGAACCCUGACCGGGCAACGCCGGGUGAGGGGAGGAGGGUUUCGGAUCGGAAAGACUUGUUGUUAAGGAAGAAAGAGUGGGAGAAUGGAAAGUGCAUACUGUGACGGUACUUAACCAGAAAGGGACGGCUAACUACGUG